RNAcentral lists this small RNA (76 nucleotides) under Xanthomonas codiaei. RNAcentral describes it as "sX9 sRNA". It matches the Rfam family "Xanthomonas sRNA sX9". Lineage: Bacteria; Pseudomonadati; Pseudomonadota; Gammaproteobacteria; Lysobacterales; Lysobacteraceae. The record is from RNAcentral.
AUGUACCGCGCGGACACGCCGGUUCCUCCGCGCCGCCCGCAGCCACCUGACGACCGCGCGCUACGGUUAGGUAGCC